GAUCCUGGCUCAGAGUGAACGCUGGCGGCGUGCCUAAUACAUGCAAGUCGAACGAUGAAGCUUCUAGCUUGCUAGAGUGCUGAUUAGUGGCGCACGGGUGAGUAACGCAUAGGUCAUGUGCCUCUUAGUUUGGGAUAGCCAUUGGAAACGAUGAUUAAUACCAGAUACUCCCUAUGGGGGAAAGAUUUAUCGCUAAGAGAUCAGCCUAUGUCCUAUCAG
RNAcentral lists this ribosomal RNA (219 nucleotides) under uncultured bacterium. RNAcentral's name for it is "partial 16S ribosomal RNA". It matches the Rfam family "Bacterial small subunit ribosomal RNA", at positions 15 to 244 of the family's 1533-position model. The record is from RNAcentral.